GCCGUUCCAGGCUAGACAUAGCGUCGCUCGGAGUGUAAUAACACGUGAGCAACCUGCCCCUGACUCUGGGGAUAAGCGGUGGAAACGCCGUCUAAUACCGGAUACGACCUUCCACCUCAUGGUGGAGGGUGGAAAGUUUUUUCGGUCAGGGAUGGGCUCGCGGCCUAUCAGCUUGUUGGUGGGGUAACGGCCUACCAAGGCGAUUACGGGUAGCCGGCCUGAGAGGGCGACCGGCCACACUGGGACUGAGACACGGCCCAGACUCCUGCGGGAGGCAGCAGUGGGGAAUAUUGCGCAAUGGGCGAAAGCCUGACGCAGCGACGCCGCGUGGGGGAUGACGGCCUUCGGGUUGUAAACCUCUUUUACCACCAACGCAGGCUCCGGGUUCUCUCGGGGUUGACGGUAGGUGGGGAAUAAGGACCGGCUAACUACGUGCCAGCAGCCGCGGUAAUACGUAGGGUCCGAGCGUUGUCCGGAAUUAUUGGGCGUAAAGAGCUCGUAGGCGGCGUGUCGCGUCUGCUGUGAAAGACCGGGGCUUAACUCCGGUUCUGCAGUGGAUACGGGCAUGCUAGAGGUAGGUAGGGGAGACUGGAAUUCCUGGUGUAGCGGUGAAAUGCGCAGAUAUCAGGAGGAACACCGGUGGCGAAGGCGGGUCUCUGGGCCUUACCUGACGCUGAGGAGCGAAAGCAUGGGGAGCGAACAGGAUUAGAUACCCUGGUAGUCCAUGCCGUUAACGUUGGGCGCUAGGUGUGGGGACUUUUCCCGGUUUCC
RNAcentral lists this ribosomal RNA (771 nucleotides) under Nocardiopsis lucentensis. Its description in RNAcentral is "bacterial SSU rRNA". It matches the Rfam family "Bacterial small subunit ribosomal RNA", at positions 75 to 842 of the family's 1533-position model. The record is from RNAcentral. Lineage: Bacteria; Bacillati; Actinomycetota; Actinomycetes; Streptosporangiales; Nocardiopsidaceae.